CGGGGGAGGCCGGAUCCUGGGCUGUGUCCCGGCGCCCUGUGCUCCGGGGCCUGCGCUGUUGGAUUCGCGCUCCCGCCCCACAGCCCCCU
RNAcentral lists this microRNA precursor (89 nucleotides) under Canis lupus familiaris (dog). Its description in RNAcentral is "mir-8799 microRNA precursor family". It matches the Rfam family "mir-8799 microRNA precursor family". RNAcentral also lists the same sequence under 1 other name. Lineage: Eukaryota; Metazoa; Chordata; Mammalia; Carnivora; Canidae. The record is from Rfam by way of RNAcentral.